UUGAAUGUUAAUUGAUUUAUGUUUAGAUAUACUUACUUAAAAGUGAUUCUUAUGUGUUGAUAUUGUUUGGAUAG
RNAcentral lists this microRNA precursor (74 nucleotides) under Medicago truncatula (barrel medic). RNAcentral's name for it is "MIR5272 microRNA precursor family". It matches the Rfam family "MIR5272 microRNA precursor family". Lineage: Eukaryota; Viridiplantae; Streptophyta; Magnoliopsida; Fabales; Fabaceae. The record is from Rfam by way of RNAcentral.